Molecule: ribosomal RNA, 484 nt
Filed under: uncultured bacterium
Lineage: Bacteria
Description: partial 16S ribosomal RNA
Rfam family: Bacterial small subunit ribosomal RNA
Source: RNAcentral
AUUGAACGCUGGCGGCAGGCCUAACACAUGCAAGUCGAGCGGAUGAAGGGAGCUUGCUCCUGGAUUCAGCGGCGGACGGGUGAGUAAUGCCUAGGAAUCUGCCUGGUAGUGGGGGAUAACGUCCGGAAACGGGCGCUAAUACCGCAUACGUCCUGAGGGAGAAAGUGGGGGAUCUUCGGACCUCACGCUAUCAGAUGAGCCUAGGUCGGAUUAGCUAGUUGGUGGGGUAAAGGCCUACCAAGGCGACGAUCCGUAACUGGUCUGAGAGGAUGAUCAGUCACACUGGAACUGAGACACGGUCCAGACUCCUACGGGAGGAAGCAGUGGGGAAUAUUGGACAAUGGGCGAAAGCCUGAUCCUGCCAUGCCGCGUGUGUGAAGAAGGUCUUCGGAUUGUAAAGCACUUUAAGUUGGGAGGAAGGGCAGUAAGUUAAUACCUUGCUGUUUUGACGUUACCAACAGAAUAAGCACCGGCUAACUUCGUG